AUGGGCGCAAGCCUGAUGGAGCAACACCGCGUGAGUGAAGAAGGGUUUCGGCUCGUAAAACUCUGUUGUUGGAGAAGAACGUGCGUAAGAGUAACUGUUUACGCAGUGACGGUAUCCAACCAGAAAGUCACGGCUAACUACGUGCCAGCAGCCGCGGUAAUACGUAGGUGGCAAGCGUUAUCCGGAUUUAUUGGGCGUAAAGCGAGCGCAGGCGGUUGCUUAGGUCUGAUGUGAAAGCCUUCGGCUUAACCGAAGAAGUGCAUCGGAAACCGGGCGACUUGAGUGCAGAAGAGGACAGUGGAACUCCAUGUGUAGCGGUGGAAUGCGUAGAUAUAUGGAAGAACACCAGUGGCGAAGGCGGCUGUCUGGUCUGCAACUGACGCUGAGGCUCGAAAGCAUGGGUAGCGAACAGGAUUAGAUACCCUGGUAGUCCAUGCCGUAAACGAUGAGUGCUAGGUGUUGGAGGGUUUCCGCCCUUCAGUGCCGAAGCUAACGCAUUAAGCACUCCGCCUGGGGAGUACGACCGCAAGGUUGAAACUCAAAGGAAUUGACGGGGGCCCGCACAAGCGGUGGAGCAUGUGGUUUAAUUCGAAGCUACGCGAAGAACCUUACCAGGUCUUGACAUCUUGCGCCAACCUCAGAGAUGA
This 647-nucleotide ribosomal RNA is filed under the name Limosilactobacillus oris. RNAcentral's name for it is "bacterial SSU rRNA". It matches the Rfam family "Bacterial small subunit ribosomal RNA", at positions 371 to 1009 of the family's 1533-position model. The record is from RNAcentral. Lineage: Bacteria; Bacillati; Bacillota; Bacilli; Lactobacillales; Lactobacillaceae.